RNAcentral lists this ribosomal RNA (700 nucleotides) under uncultured bacterium. Its description in RNAcentral is "bacterial SSU rRNA". It matches the Rfam family "Bacterial small subunit ribosomal RNA", at positions 26 to 699 of the family's 1533-position model. The record is from RNAcentral.
AGAACGAACGCUGGCGGCGUGCUUAACACAUGCAAGUCGUACGAGAAACCGGAACUUCGGUUCCGGGAGUAAAGUGGCGCACGGGUGAGUAACGCGUAGGUAAUCUACCCUUGGGUUUGGAAUAACCCGCCGAAAGGCGGACUAAUACCGGAUAAAAUCUUUCGGAGGGAUCUGAAAGAUCAAAGGUGGCCUCUCCAUGGAUGCUACUGCCUAAGGAUGAGCCUGCGUCCCAUUAGCUUGUUGGUAGGGUAAUGGCCUACCAAGGCUACGAUGGGUAGCUGGUCUGAGAGGAUGACCAGCCACACUGGAACUGGAACACGGUCCAGACUCCUACGGGAGGCAGCAGUGAGGAAUAUUGCGCAAUGGGGGAAACCCUGACGCAGCGACGCCGCGUGGGUGAAGAAGGCCUUCGGGUCGUAAAGCCCUGUCUAGAGGGAAGAAAUUCUCAAUGGAAUAAUACCCAUUGAGAUUGACGGUACCUCUGGAGGAAGCACCGGCUAACUCCGUGCCAGCAGCCGCGGUAAUACGGAGGGUGCGAGCGUUGUUCGGAAUUACUGGGCGUAAAGCGGGUGUAGGCGGUUUGUUAAGUCAGAUGUGAAAGCCCACGGCUCAACCGUGGAAGUGCAUCUGAAACUGGCAGACUUGAGUACCGGAGAGGGAAGUGGAAUUCCUGGUGUAGGGGUGAAAUCCGUAGAUAUCA